Molecule: long non-coding RNA, 384 nt
Filed under: Capra hircus (goat)
Lineage: Eukaryota; Metazoa; Chordata; Mammalia; Artiodactyla; Bovidae
Description: lncRNA (ENSCHIG00000007730.1)
Source: RNAcentral
CGCUGAUUUAUACUCUCAGUGGUGGUGCACAAGGGUUCUAGGUUCUGAAAUGUGAAGUAGGCAGUCUCAACCUACAGCAAAAUGGGGCGUGUGGGGAGCUGGCCCCUGGAUGGAAACAGCUGGACUUCUCCAUCUCAAGAGUAGAGGAGGCUGGGGUGACGCCAGCAGCACUGGGCCUGAAACUCGCCUUCUCUGUGAAUUGUCCUCACGUUCCUUUGGACUGAUGUAGAAAUUGCUCUGCGCCUGUGAUCAGCCCCUGGUGACAGAGUCGCACCGCUGGAGAGCAGGGGGAAGGCUGCGGCAGACCCUGUGGUGGCCUCCCCAGCAGCGAGUCCCUUCUCCCUGCCCUGCAGUGGACCAGGUGGGGCUGUCCGUCAGUCCCUG